This 242-nucleotide ribosomal RNA is filed under the name uncultured Planctomycetales bacterium. Its description in RNAcentral is "partial 16S ribosomal RNA". It matches the Rfam family "Bacterial small subunit ribosomal RNA", at positions 439 to 672 of the family's 1533-position model. Lineage: Bacteria; Pseudomonadati; Planctomycetota; Planctomycetia; Planctomycetales. The record is from RNAcentral.
GGAGUUAUGAAAUGCAGGUUGGUUAAUACCCAACCUGUUUGACAAAGGCCCCAAAGGAAGCCACGGCUAACUCUGUGCCAGCAGCCGCGGUAAUACAGAGGUGGCAAGCGUUGUUCGGUAUUAUUGGGCGUAAAGAGCACGUAGGUGGUUUUGUAAGUCAGAUGUGAAAGCCUUCUGUUCAAAGGAAGAACGGCAUCUGAAACUGCAGAUCUUGAGUGUAGGAGGGGAGAGUGGAACUUCUG